AACAGGAUUAGAUACCCUGGUAGUCCACGCUGUAAACGAUGUCGACUUGGAGGUUGUUCCCUUGAGGAGUGGCUUCCGGAGCUAACGCGUUAAGUCGACCGCCUGGGGAGUACGGCCGCAAGGUUAAAACUCAAAUGAAUUGACGGGGGCCCGCACAAGCGGUGGAGCAUGUGGUUUAAUUCGAUGCAACGCGAAGAGCCUUACCUACUCUUGACAUCCAGAGAACUUAGCAGAGAUGCUUUGGCGCCUUCGGGAACUCUGAGACAGGUGCUGCAUGGCUGUCGUCAGCUCGUGUUGUGAAAUGUUGGGUUAAGUCCCGCAACGAGCGCAACCCUUAUCCUUUGUUGCCAGCGGUCCGGCCGGGAACUCAAAGGAGACUGCCAGUGAUAAACUGGAGGAAGGUGGGGAUGACGUCAAGUCAUCAUGGCCCUUACGAGUAGGGCUACACACGUGCUACAAUGGCAUAUACAAAGAGAAGCGACCUCGCGAGAGCAAGCGGACCUCAUAAAGUAUGUCGUAGUCCGGAUUGGAGUCUGCAACUCGACUCCAUGAAGUCGGAAUCGCUAGUAAUCGUGGAUCAGAAUGCCACGGUGAAUACGCUCCCGGGCCUUGUACACACCGCCCGUCACACCAUGGGAGUGGGUUGCAAAAGAAGUAGGUAGCUUAACCUUCGGGAGGGCGCUUACCACUUUGUGAUUCAUGACUGGGGUGAAGUCGUAACAAGGUAACC
RNAcentral lists this ribosomal RNA (730 nucleotides) under uncultured bacterium. RNAcentral's name for it is "bacterial SSU rRNA". It matches the Rfam family "Bacterial small subunit ribosomal RNA", at positions 771 to 1501 of the family's 1533-position model. The record is from RNAcentral.